This 458-nucleotide ribosomal RNA is filed under the name uncultured bacterium. RNAcentral's name for it is "bacterial SSU rRNA". It matches the Rfam family "Bacterial small subunit ribosomal RNA", at positions 43 to 524 of the family's 1533-position model. The record is from RNAcentral.
CAGGCCUAACACAUGCAAGUCGAACGGGCACCUUCGAGUGUCAGUGGCAGACGGGUGAGUAACACGUGGGAACGUACCCUUCGGUUCGGAAUAACUCAGGGAAACUUGAGCUAAUACCGGAUACGCCCUUACGGGGAAAGGUUUACUGCCGAAGGAUCGGCCCGCGUCUGAUUAGCUAGUUGGUGAGGUAACGGCUCACCAAGGCGACGAUCAGUAGCUGGUCUGAGAGGAUGAUCAGCCACACUGGGACUGAGACACGGCCCAGACUCCUACGGGAGGCAGCAGUGGGGAAUAUUGGGCAAUGGGCGAGAGCCUGACCCAGCCAUGCCGCGUGCAGGAAGAAGGCUUUCUGAGUCGUAAACUGCUUUUGACAGGGAAGAAUAAGCUGAACGUGUUCAGUGAUGACGGUACCUGCAGAAUAAGCACCGUGCUAACUCCGUGCCAGCAGCCGCGGUAAU